UAAAUAUUUUAAUGGGGGUUAAAGUAUUAUAUAAAGAAAAAAUUUUUAAAUUUAUAGUUAAUUAGUAUUGUGAAAGAAUUUUGAAAUAUUAUGAAAAUUAAAAUUUUAAUAAAGUAAUUUUUAUUUAUUGUAUCUUGUGUAUCAGAGUUUAUUAAAAAUUUUUAAUUUAUAAAUUAAUUUCUCGAAUUUAAAAGAGUUAAAUAAUUAUUAAAGUUAUUGUAGCAAAAUUAUUUUAAAUAAUUAUUUAGAAAUGAAAUGUUAAUCGUUUUUAAAUAUAUCUAGUUUUUACAGAAAAAAAUUUAAUUUUAAAUUUUUAUAUUAUUUAAUUAAUUUAUUAAUUAAAUAAUUAUAAAAAUUUUAUAAUUUAAGGGAUAAGCUUUAAAUUAGAUUUUUAUAAUAUUAAAUUUUUAUUUUGAAAAUUUUAUAAUUUAUAUUGUUAAUAAAUUUUAUUUUAUUAUAAAUAAUUUCAUUUUUUUUAAAAUUUAAAUUUUAUUUAAUUUUUUAUAUAAAAUUUAUUUAUAAUUAUAUAAAUUUAAUUAUAAUGAUAAAAUUAGUAUAUUAUUUAAUAUAAAAUUAAAAUUAAUUUUUAAUUAAUAAUUAAAUUAAUUAAAAGGAAUUCGGCAAAUAUUUAUUUUCACUUGUUUAUCAAAAACAUGUCUUUUUGUUUUUAAUUUAAAGUCUAAUCUGCCCACUGAUUUAAAAAAAUUGAAGGGCUGCAGUAUAUUGACUGUACAAAGGUAGCAUAAUCAUUAGUCUCUUAAUUGGUGACUUGUAUGAAAGAUUGGAUGAAAAAUAUACUGUCUCUUAAUUAAUAUGUAGAAUUUAAUUUUUUAUUUAAAAAGUUAAAAUAAUUUAAAAAGACGAGAAGACCCUAUAGAGUUUAAUAAGUUUUUUUGUAAGAGUUUUAUUUAUAAUUAUUAAUAAUUUUAUAAAUUUUUUUAUUUUAUUGGGGUGAUAAAAAAAUAAAUUUAACUUUUUUAAAUAAUUUACAUAAAUAAAUGAUUAAU
Molecule: ribosomal RNA, 1007 nt
Filed under: Biston quercii
Lineage: Eukaryota; Metazoa; Arthropoda; Insecta; Lepidoptera; Geometridae
Description: partial 16S ribosomal RNA
Source: RNAcentral